Cinara cedri is the source of this 356-nucleotide non-coding RNA. The record is from the annotation of a GenBank genome assembly. Lineage: Eukaryota; Metazoa; Arthropoda; Insecta; Hemiptera; Aphididae.
UAUAUCAUUUUUAAGCAUAAAAAGGCCUAUAAUGAAAAUGAAGAACACAAUUUCAUUCACCGAAUGACAUAACAUAAUACGUUUGGUUCAAUAUUAAUUUGCGAAAGAAGUUACGGCUGUUUUCAAAUAAUUAGAAAAUCCAAAACGCAAUCUCGAAUAUCUACUCGUCUCGUUCGAAUAAAUUAAAUAUCGAUACUCCAUUAUAUUAUUAUCCUAGAUGCAUAUAAGCAGGUUGACUUUGACUUCUAUAAUGAACACAAAUUCCAAAGUCAUUUAAUUGUGCUGUUAAAUUUGCAUGGUUUUAGGAAUGCAAUUAAAAUUACCUACUCUUAAAAAUACUUCGUUAAAUAGGGGUU